RNAcentral lists this ribosomal RNA (166 nucleotides) under Pseudomonadota bacterium. Its description in RNAcentral is "partial 23S ribosomal RNA". It matches the Rfam family "Bacterial large subunit ribosomal RNA", at positions 2764 to 2925 of the family's 2925-position model. Lineage: Bacteria; Pseudomonadati; Pseudomonadota. The record is from RNAcentral.
AUAACCGCUGAAAGCAUCUAAGCGGGAAACUUGCCUCAAGAUGAGACUUCCCGGGACGUCAAGUCCCCUGAAGGUUCGCCGAAGACGACGGCGUGGAUAGGUCGGGUGUGGAAGCGCAGUAAUGCGUUCAGCUAACCGAUACUAAUUGACCGUGCGGCUUGAUCCU